UCCCAAAGUGCUGGGAUUACAGGCCUGAGCCACUGUGACUACCUGAUACGUCUCUUCUCUCUUGCUGCUUUCAAAAUCCUGUCUUUUGUGGGAGGGCAGCUGCCGAGCUCUGGACUUCUACGGGAUCAUCCACUGAGGACAGGAGGACCGGGCCCUCUACAGGUGGAUUGUAUGGCAGCUGCCAUGCUUGGAGCCAGUGCUCACCGAGCACGUGGCGGCUGUGGAGCUGGACGCGGGGUUGAUAAGUCCGCUGGGGGUGACGGGCUCAUCCAUGAGUGGUACUUGAUGUGGCUGCAGAAGGCGGAUGUGGUGGUGGCAGAAGUGACACAACUGUCCCUGGGUAUAGGCUAUGAUCUGUGCCAGGCCACAGCCCUCAAUAAGUGAAUCCUGUGCCUGCUCCAGCAGCAGUCCGGUGGAGUGCUGUCGGCCAUGAUCUGGGAAGAGGCAGAUGGCUCUGGGUUCCAGGUGUGGGACUACGGAGAGGGACAGGUGGAGGCCCUGCUGCAUGGAUAGGUUGAGGCUGAUCCUUCCGAGCAGGUUGCCUCCCCUAACCCAACCAUUGGACCUAAUCCCAUUUUAUUAAAUUCUUCUCAUCCCAGACACUGCUCUAGUACCAGUCCUGGCUCUUUGCCCCAGGAGCAAAUUAAAAGGUACAUUUAAAAUUCUAAAAAAAGAAAAAUCUGUCUUUUGACAGUGAUUAUGAUGAUGCGUAUGGCUGAAGAUCUCUUUGAGUUUACCCUACUUGGAGUUUGAUGAGCUUUUUGGAUGUACGGAUUAAUAUUUUUCAUCAGAUUUGGGAGGUUUUUCAGCCAUUAAUUCUUCAACUAUUCCUUUACUCCUUUCUCCCUGUCUUCUUUCCUGGGACUCCCAUUGUGUGUAUGUCGGAAAGCUUGACGGCGUCUCCAGGUCUCUGGAUCUCUGUGCAUUGCUCUUCAUGCUUGUUCCUGUUCCUCAGAGGGGACUACCUCAGGUGGCCUCUCUCCAUAGUCACAGGCUCUUUCUUCCAAUUGUUCCAAUCUGCUCUUGGGCCCCUGGGAUGAAUUUUCAUUUAUUUUACCCUACAACUCCAGAAUUUUUAUUUGGUUCCUUUUUAAACUUUUUUUUUGUUUUUUGUUUUGUUUUGUUUUUUGGAGUAUCGCUCUGUCACCCAGGCUGUAGUGCAGUGGUGCAAUCUCGGCUCACUGCAAUCUCUGCCUCUCGGGUUCAAGCGAUUCUCCUGCCUCAGCCUCCCGAGUAGCUGGGAUUACAGGCACGUGCCACCACGCCCGGCUAAUUUUUGUAUUUUAAGUAGAGACGGGGUUUCACCAUGUUGGCCAGGCUGGUCUCAAUCUCUUGACCUCAUGAUAUGCCCGCCUCAGCCUCCCAAAGUGCUGGGAUUAUAGGCAUGAGCCACCAUGCCCAGCCCCUUUUUAUAAGGUUCAUCCCAUUAUUGAUAUUCUCUAAUUGGUGAGACAUUGUUCCCACACUUUCGUUAGUUCUUUUGACAUGGUUCUUUUCUUUUUCUUGGGAGAGGGUCUCUCUGUCGCCCAAGCUGGAGUGCAGUGAUGCAGUCAUGGCUCACUGCAGCCUCAACUUCCUGGGCUGAAGUGAUCCUCCUACCUCAGCAUCCUGAGAGGCUGGGACCAUAGGCAGCCAGCUAAUUUUUUAAAUUUUUUGUAGAGAUGGGGGUCUCACCACAUUUCCCAAGCUGCUCUCAAACUCCUGGGCUCAAGCAAUCCACGGGCCUCAGCUUCCCAGAGUGCUAGGAUUAUAGGUGUGAGCCACUGCACCAGGCCUACACGUGGUUUCUCCCUUUGAAGUACUAGCCAGGCCUGACCAUGCUUAGCUUCCGAGAUCAGCAGGUUCCAGCCGGUGCAGCCUCAGAUGCAGCAUGUUUUAGGUCUUUGAACAUAUUUAAAUGAGCUGACUGAACGUCUUUGUCUAGCAAUUGCAGCAUCGGGCUGGUCCCAUUGGUGACUUUUCCCGUGUCUGGGUCGUCCUUUCGGUUUCCUUUCCAUGUCUCAUAAUUUGUUAAAACCUGGACAUUUCACGGGCGAUAAUGUGGCAACUCCGGAAGUCAGAUUCUCUUCCCUGCCAAGGAUGUGUUGUUGUUGUUGCCUGUUGGAGCUGUUUCUUUGCUGGGUGACUUUUCUGAACUAAUUCUGACUAAGCAUUAAUGUCUCCAUUCCCUGCGAGCUGUGGCCACUGAAGCCGCUCUUCAGUUACGGCAGUGGUCAGCUAAUGACUGGUCAGAGAGUUCCUUAGGUGCCUGGAAGCGAAGUCUUUGCCGAGUGGGUCUCUCUCUGUGUGCCGGGCGUGGCUUCAGUGCUCGGCUAGGCAGUGCUCAACUUUCCCUUAGCCGUCACCUGCUGUCUGCACAGCACCUCAGGUCACGACCCCCAGGAGACCUGGAGGACUGAAUGCUGCUGCCCCCAAGGAGGAGGCUGCCGUCUUAUCCCAGGAGGGAGAGCAGGUGAAGUCCCCAGGGGAGGAAGCACCUAGCCCCAUUCCUGCUGAGCAGGAGGUGGCAGGUACCCCAGACUGGGAGGUAAGGACAGCCCGGGGCUUCGACUGAACGUCUCCAGCGUGGGUCCAACUGAGCAGCCAUGGAGCACUGCAGAGUGGGAGGCAGCAGGGCAGGGAGGCAGUGCUGGAGGCUGGCUCAACCCCAAGACCAGCAGGCCAAGCUGCCAUCCCAGGGGAGCGAGGACGUCUGUGCAGAGCUGAGAGGCAGCAGCCAUGUGUGAACAGACUGGGCCUCAUCCUGGCCCCACCGACUUUGUGUGGACAGAGCCUGUUUCCCUGUCUGUGCAACACAGAACCUGCCUGAUCUCACUGCUGGAUCCCUCUUCUUCCUGCCAGGAAAAUAAAAAGGUUCAAAAGGAAGUUGCUGCGUAUCCAUCUGAGGCCUCUGAGGACAGCAAAGAGCAAAGGCCCUGGGACCGGGUCUACGUGCCCAUGACAGAGCUCUGGCUGGACUGGUUCUGAGCCUCUAACACCCCCAAGACUCAGAACCGUGAAGAAAAUCUUUCCAAUAAAUCCAAGAGUUGCUGCUGCUAUAGGCCAGGCUGCCACCUUUCGGGGCCUCCGUCUUCAGACAAACCCAGCCUGGCUUCAUCCACACUCCCUGUCCCCACAGCUGCAGGAACAGCACUUCCUGCCACCGAGCCGUGUGACCACAGUGGAUUGUCUCUGGAGGGGCCCAAGGGGGCCCUGGCCACCCUUCUGACUGACUCGGUGCCAGGGGACAGACCAACGUCCCUCUCGUGCUGACAGCCGGGCCGCACCCUGGCAUGAGGGCAUUUACAGAAAUGCUGGCGGAACUGCUGCCAGGGAGGCUGUAGGGUCCUCUGGCAAAAGAGGCCUCAGGUGGCUCCUCAGAGUGUCUGUGGUUCUCUGUCCCAGGCUGUUCCCUAAGAAGGUCUGCCCAGGACUCAGGUAAUCAUAUGCUCAUUAGAAACUCUUGGGCACUGCCUGUGUGCCCAGCCCAGCCCAUUAUGUCGGUGAGGACAGACGUGGAGGACAGCAGUCCCUGCCCUUGGUUGGGGCUCCAGGCCAGCAAGGGCCACAGCCCCAGAAGGCAGAGCAGGAAGACAGGACUCGGGGCAGGUGAAGCAGCCUUCUCGUUGGCAGAAGGGAAACAGAAGCCCGGGGUGGGGAAGGGUGGGGAAGGGUGGGGAAGGGUGGGCCCGGGGUCACACGGGGUAAUGGCAGAGCAAGGACUAGGGUCAGGGUCUCUGGCUCUCAGCUGCCCAUGCCACCUCCUCCUUCUCUGCCCGCCCCAGUGCCUUAUGGGUCCAAGGUUGACUCCUGUCCCUAGGGCAGGCCUGUGGGCCCUGCCUGAUCCCUACUGGGAGGAUGGUACCUAGGGUUGGAGCCAAACAAGUGUCCUCCUCCAGCGCCAGCCUGGCCCUGAGUGCGAACUCGUCACUGGUCAGGGGUCCAGACAGCAGCAUCCCUGAGGGCCCAGAGAGGUGGCCAGUCCUGUGGUGAGGUUGAGAGGUGUCAACGUGCUGGUGGUCCUCGCUCGCUCUCAGCGCCUCCUCGGCCUCAGCUUCUGCUCUGACCACACUUGAGGAGCCCUUCAGCCCAGCGCUGCACUGUGGGAGCCCCUCUCUGGACUGGUGGAGGCUGGAGCCGGCUCCGUCUGCUUGCGGGGAGGUAUGGAGGGAGAGGCGUGUGCGGGAACCUGGGUUGCUCGCGGGCCAGCACCAGUUCUGGGUGGGCAGGGGCUCAGCGGGCCCUGCACUCGGAGCGGCCGGCUGGUGCCUCUGGCCCCAGGCAGUGAGGGGCUUAGCACCUGGGCCAGCAGCUGCAGAGGGGGCACCGGGUCCCCCAGUACUGCUGGCCUGCCGGCGCUCACCACACUUGAAUUGUCGCCAGGCCUCAGUCACCUCCCCGCGGGGCAGGGCUCAGGACUUGCAGCCUGCCAUGCCCAAGCCUCCCUACGGUGGGCUCCCUGCGAGGCCCGAGCCUCCCGGAUGGGUGCCUCCCACUGCUCCACGGCACCUGGUCCCGUCCACUGCCCAAGGGCUGAGGAGUACAGGUGCCCGGUGUGGGACUAGCAGGCAGCUCUGCCUGUGGCCCUGGCAUAGGAUCCACUAGGCGAAGCUGGCUGGGCUCCUGAGUCAGGUGGGGACUUGGAGAACUUUUAUGUCUAGCCAGAGGAUUGUAUAUGCACCAAUCAGCACUCUGUGUCUAGCUCCGGGUUCGUGCAUGCACCAAUUAGCACUCUAUCUAGCUAAUCUGGUGGGGACUUGGGGAACCUUUAUUUCUAGCUAAAAGAUUGUAAAUACACCAAUCAGCACUCUG
Homo sapiens (human) is the source of this 4791-nucleotide RNA transcript. RefSeq lists it as uncharacterized. The transcript is spliced from 3 exons. The record is from RefSeq and is a predicted model, not a curated record. NCBI's taxonomy places the organism in Eukaryota, Metazoa, Chordata, Mammalia, Primates, Hominidae.